This is a long non-coding RNA of Macaca mulatta (Rhesus monkey), 2814 nucleotides long. The record is from Ensembl. NCBI's taxonomy places the organism in Eukaryota, Metazoa, Chordata, Mammalia, Primates, Cercopithecidae.
CUACUUAAAUGAUGUAGAGUGAAUUCCAUAUUUUUUGGAGGUUAAGAAACCUAAUUUCUAUAGAAAACGUGAUGCAUGCAUGACCCCCAAUUUAGGCACCUGAAGUGAGCAAAGGCAUGGCAAGAGUUUUUCUGGUCACCUACAGCAGAGUCAACAGAAAUACUGAUGAAAGAGACUUGCAGAUUAAGUACAAUAUAAGGAAUAAAGUUAAUAAAAUUGAAUUGUAUUAGAGGUUUUAGUUAAUGAGUAGAUUUUAGCUAUUCUUGUUGCACACAAGGAAAGUAACUGUGAGAUAAUCUGCUUCACUAUAGUCGUCAUUUAACUUUUGAUGAUAUUCUAUGACAUUAUGUUCUAAACAUCAAGCAUACACAAUAAAGUUUAUUUUUCUUUUAAAUAGGAAGAUACAGCUUGAGGAGCCAGAUGCAGCGGCUCACUCCUGUAAUCCCAGCGUUUUGGGAGGCCGAGUUCAAGUGAAGAUACAAGCACGCCUCUUGGUUCAGGAUGCCCACAUGACCUAUGUGUGGUCAACCUCUGUGUCCAGCUUCUGAGACGGACGCUCCCUGGGAGACCUGGAAGGAUGUGAUCAAACACAUGCAAACUACAGGGGCUGAAAGUGAGAAAAGGUGGUUUUCAGAGGAAAAUCUUCAGUGUUAACAGACAAAGAGGGAGUGAUGGAUGAACAGGUAAAACCAGCAGCUGUCCGGUGUACUGUGACUUAUAACUUUUACCUGGGCUGAUAAAUAAAUAAUGGCUGGAGUCAUUAUGAGUGACAGCAUUCUUGUUCUGCAGACACUAUAAAUCUGGAUAAAAUAAGCAAUUCUCUGCUGAGAUGAUAGAAGAAUCUAUCUUCCCUCACUUCGCCAACACAGUGAGAAUAGUGGACUCUGAAUUCUUGAUUUUUCUGGCUGCAUCGUGAAGAGUAUUUCCUGAAACCGUCAAUGAGGAUGUACAGAAACAGUAGGAAAAUGUGGGCUAGGGAAAUCAACGUAGGAUGGUCCUCUUCAUCCCAGAUAUGAUCAGUGUUCCUGCUGUGAGAAGUGUCUUCUUCACUAACCUUUUAAAAUACGUUCUUCUUAAUAUUAUAGAUGAUUGAAAUUUUUAAUGUUUUUUAUUAUUUAACUCACAAAAAAUGUGAAUAUAAUCUCUGGAGGAGAGGGAAUUGGCCAAAUAUUAUACUAAGAAGUGUGGCUAAUUUAUUCUGUAACUUGGCCAUGAACAAUAUAUGGGAAUAAAUGAAUAACUCAAAUAGAAGACUUUCUUUUGGUCCGGGAAAACAGAAGGAAUUUGAGUAUUAAUCUUCGGUCUGCUGCCAGUCUGCUGCAUCAGGAACUAUUUUUGAUACAUGAGAAUGAUGGAAAAAUUGAGAGUUCUCUUGACUUUACCCCCAGUUCCUAUAAAAAAGACAAUUAAACCACAAAAAGCUAUUUAAGAAAAUAUUUGCUGUCUCAUUGCCAGAUUAACAAUUAAAUGUUCCUAUCUGUUCGUAACGUCAAAGAGAAGAUGAAUGGAAGCAAUAGUGUUGUCAGCCGCAGCCGAAUCUGUAUCAACUGCAUAUUAGGACAGUAGCUGCAUGUCACCAAUACCCCAGCCAUGCCAUUUUUUUUUUUUUUUUUGAUAUGGAGUCUCGCUCUGUCACCCAGGCUGGAGUGCAGUGAUGCUAUCUUGGCUCAUUGCAACCUCCGGCUCCCAGAUUCAAGAGCUUCUCCUGCCUCAACCUUUCGAGUAGCUGGGAUUACAGGUGUACACCACCACACCAGAUAAUUUUUUGUAUUUAAGUAGAGAUGGGAUUUCGCCAUAUUGGCCAGGCUGGUCUCGAAAUCCUGACCUCAAGUCAUCUGCCCACCUCUGCCUCCCAAAGCACUGGGAUUACAGGCCUGAGCCACUGUGCCCUGCUCCAUGCCCCGUUUUUACCCUCACUCUAUGUACGCCACUGCACUUUUGGCUUCUCAUAGGCCUAAGAGUCUGCUUGAUUAUGGUCAAGGGAGAGGGAUAGGCUCUAGGAGAUUAACUUGUAUGACCAGAUGGCAGUAGUUUUGUCAGCAAACACAGAUAAAUGUUAUCUAGAAAGAUUAUCUUCUCUACACACCCUAACAAAAGUCAUUUUUAACUAUGCUUUGUAUACAACGGUCCCUGACAUGAAAACUCCAGGUUAUUUAACAAGAGGUUACCAAGGUUUACUUGGCUUGACCACUGCAAAGGGCAAAUGUAAAAACUUGUUAGAGCGAUGAGGUGCUUAUGUUUCACCUCUUCAGACAACUUCUUGGACAAGCAUCAAGGAUGAUCUCAAGCCACCUAGGACCAUCAAAGAAUAAUUCUAAUCCAGCAUUUUGCAGGAAUGUACAUUCUAUUUUAUUUAUUUUUUGAGACAGGGUCUCACUCUGUCACCCAGGCUAGAGUGCGGUGAUGUCAGUUCACUGCAAACUCUGCCUCCUGGAUUCAAGUGAUUCCUCUGCCUCAGCCUCCCGAGUAGCUGGGGCUACAGGUGACUGUCACCAUGACCAGCUAAUUUUUGUAUUUUUAGUAUAGAUGGGGUUUCACCAUGUUGGCCAGGCUGGUCUGGAACUCCUGACUUCCAGCAAUCCACCCGUCUGGAUCUGCCAGAAAAUAUACAUUUUAAAAUAUUAAUGUAAAGAUUAAAGAUGGAGAAGAAGACAGUAUUGUGUUCUGUCAUCUUAAAAUAGAAAGGCUGACUUUGGCCAUUCCUUCGACUCAGGAAGUCCAUUAUUCAGGAAAAUCAAACGGUGUAAUGGUAGGUCUCUUUAGUAAAAGGAAAGGUUAAAGUAAUGUUCAUCUCUAGUCUACUCUAGCCUUUAU